GAAAAUGUGGGAACUCAUAUAAGCCGAACGGG
RNAcentral lists this small RNA (32 nucleotides) under Bombyx mori (domestic silkworm). RNAcentral describes it as "ovarian small RNA-15036". The record is from RNAcentral. Lineage: Eukaryota; Metazoa; Arthropoda; Insecta; Lepidoptera; Bombycidae.